RNAcentral lists this ribosomal RNA (515 nucleotides) under uncultured bacterium. RNAcentral's name for it is "partial 16S ribosomal RNA". It matches the Rfam family "Bacterial small subunit ribosomal RNA", at positions 28 to 523 of the family's 1533-position model. The record is from RNAcentral.
GAUGAACGCUGGCGGCGUGCCUAAUACAUGCAAGUCGAGCGAAUGGAUUAAGAGCUUGCUCUUAUGAAGUUAGCGGCGGACGGGUGAGUAACACGUGGGUAACCUGCCCAUAAGACUGGGAUAACUCCGGGAAACCGGGGCUAAUACCGGAUAACAUUUUGAACCGCAAGGUUCGAAAUUGAAAGGCGGCUUCAGCUGUCACUUAUGGAUGGACACGCGUCGAAUUAGCUAGUUGGUGAGGUAACGGCUAACCAAGGCAACGAUGCGUAGCCGACCUGAGAGGGUGAUCGGACACACUGGGACUGAGACACGGCCCAGACUCCUACGGGAGGCAGCAGUAGGGAAUCUUCCGCAAUGGACGAAAGUCUGACGGAGCAACGCCGCGUGAGUGAUGAAGGCUUUCGGGUAGUAAAACUCUGUUGUUAGGGAAGAACAAGUGCCAGUUGAAUAAGCUGGCACCUUGACGGUACCUAACCAGAAAGCCACGGCUAACUACGUGCCAGCCGCCGCAGUAA